RNAcentral lists this ribosomal RNA (497 nucleotides) under uncultured bacterium. RNAcentral describes it as "partial 16S ribosomal RNA". It matches the Rfam family "Bacterial small subunit ribosomal RNA", at positions 28 to 507 of the family's 1533-position model. The record is from RNAcentral.
GAUGAACGCUGGCGGCGUGCCUAAUACAUGCAAGUCGAGCGAACAGACGAGGAGCUUGCUCCUCUGACGUUAGCGGCGGACGGGUGAGUAACACGUGGAUAACCUACCUAUAAGACUGGGAUAACUUCGGGAAACCGGAGCUAAUACCGGAUAAUAUAUUGAACCGCAUGGUUCAAUAGUGAAAGACGGUUUUGCUGUCACUUAUAGAUGGAUCCGCGCCGCAUUAGCUAGUUGGUAAGGUAACGGCUUACCAAGGCAACGAUGCGUAGCCGACCUGAGAGGGUGAUCGGCCCAACUGGAACUGAGACACGGUCCCAACUCCUAAGGGAGGCAGCAGUAGGGAAUCUUCCGCAAUGGGCGAAAGCUUGACGGAGCAAAGCCGCGUGAGUGAUGAAGGGCUUCGGAUCGUAAAACUCUGUUAAUAGGGAAGAACAAAUGUGUAAGUAACUAUGCACGUCUUGACGGUACCUAAUCAGAAAGCCACGGCUAACUACGUG